This 253-nucleotide ribosomal RNA is filed under the name uncultured bacterium. RNAcentral's name for it is "partial 16S ribosomal RNA". It matches the Rfam family "Bacterial small subunit ribosomal RNA", at positions 524 to 776 of the family's 1533-position model. The record is from RNAcentral.
GACGAACCGAGCGAACGUUGUUCGGAAUCACUGGGCUUAAAGGGCGCGUAGGCGGGUGCUCAAGUCCGUGGUGAAAUCCUCCGGCUCAACCGGAGAACUGCCUCGGAUACUGGGCGUCUCGAGUGUGGUAGGGGUAUGCGGAACUAUCGGUGGAGCGGUGAAAUGCGUUGAUAUCGAUAGGAACUCCGGUGGCGAAGGCGGCAUACUGGACCGCCACUGACGCUGAUGCGCGAAAGCCAGGGGAGCAAACGGG